RNAcentral lists this ribosomal RNA (841 nucleotides) under Rhodococcus sp. (in: high G+C Gram-positive bacteria). Its description in RNAcentral is "bacterial SSU rRNA". It matches the Rfam family "Bacterial small subunit ribosomal RNA", at positions 56 to 914 of the family's 1533-position model. Lineage: Bacteria; Bacillati; Actinomycetota; Actinomycetes; Mycobacteriales; Nocardiaceae. The record is from RNAcentral.
UGCAGUCGAGCGGUAAGGCCUUUCGGGGUACACGAGCGGCGAACGGGUGAGUAACACGUGGGUGAUCUGCCCUGCACUCUGGGAUAAGCCUGGGAAACUGGGUCUAAUACCGGAUAUGACCACAGCAUGCAUGUGUUGUGGUGGAAAGCUUUUGUGGUGCAGGAUGGGCCCGCGGCCUAUCAGCUUGUUGGUGGGGUAAUGGCCUACCAAGGCGACGACGGGUAGCCGACCUGAGAGGGUGACCGGCCACACUGGGACUGAGACACGGCCCAGACUCCUACGGGAGGCAGCAGUGGGGAAUAUUGCACAAUGGGCGGAAGCCUGAUGCAGCGACGCCGCGUGAGGGAUGAAGGCCUUCGGGUUGUAAACCUCUUUCAGCAGGGACGAAGCGUGAGUGACGGUACCUGCAGAAGAAGCACCGGCUAACUACGUGCCAGCAGCCGCGGUAAUACGUAGGGUGCGAGCGUUGUCCGGAAUUACUGGGCGUAAAGAGUUCGUAGGCGGUUUGUCGCGUCGUUUGUGAAAACCCGGGGCUCAACUUCGGGCUUGCAGGCGAUACGGGCAGACUUGAGUGUUUCAGGGGAGACUGGAAUUCCUGGUGUAGCGGUGAAAUGCGCAGAUAUCAGGAGGAACACCGGUGGCGAAGGCGGGUCUCUGGGAAACAACUGACGCUGAGGAACGAAAGCGUGGGUAGCAAACAGGAUUAGAUACCCUGGUAGUCCACGCCGUAAACGGUGGGCGCUAGGUGUGGGUUCCUUCCACGGGAUCUGUGCCGUAGCUAACGCAUUAAGCGCCCCGCCUGGGGAGUACGGCCGCAAGGCUAAAACUCAAAGGAAUUGAC